UUUAGUGGAUAACUCUAAACUCCAUAUUCAGUGCAAGCUGUUCUCAUUUUAGUCAGACACAAUUCCUCUCCAGGCCUGGGAAUCAAGGGCACCUCACUGUCCCAGGCCCUGAGAAAUGUAAACAAAAGUGAGUUGGGGGUGGGAAAACUUGGGGUAAAUGACUUCGUUACCUGAAGCUGGAAUUGGAAGAUUCACCCCCAAAAUGCAAAUGGACCAAAUUUACAAGUGUGAAAACCCAUGACCCAUGGUCCAUUUUGGGUGCAGCCCCUGGUGGGGGCUUUGUGUGCCCAAAAUGUACCUGAAGGCCCUCCAAUAAAUAGAACUGCUUUUUAUUCCAUAAAUUUUGUCUGGCCUCUGCUUUUAGGUAGAAAAAGCAUCAACAGCUGUGUGGAGAGAGAGAUUAAGUACAACUGGGGAAGAAGGCAAAGGCAGAAAACAUUAAGAUCCAUUAAUGGCUGCUCCGUUGCGCAGGCCCCAGGAAGGCCUCGGCGGCGCCGGAGCACGGCACCCGCUGCAGCCUGGGGAACACGGCUCAGUCACCUUGGGAGCAGCGGCUGUGGGAGCAGGGCACUCUUCAUCUGUUUAAGGAUUCAGAAGCAAAAGAAAGAAACUGGAAUGUGCAAACCAUUUGCAACAAGAGAGAAGACUCCCUCAAAUUGUAUACAACUCACACCCAAUUUGUGGUCAGUGAAGGUUUAUUUUCUACUUGUAAUGCUUUCCUACUUUGUAAUGCUCUUGUCAGUUUUACUUGGAUCACAAAGCAUCAUUUGAGCAACUCUAUCAAAUGUGGAGGAUAGAUAAUAUUCUGCACUGUCAGUACUAUUUAAAAUGCAAGAGCAGGUAAUAUGAAAAAUGAUUAAACUACCCAGGUUGUAUUUAACCUGUGUUGCCACUGCUAAAUCCACACACCAAGUGUUUGGGGCAAUUAUUGGAGGCAGAACUCCAGAUCCUCAGAUCCUGUACCCAGCAGGAAGACAGCCAUUUCUAAAAAUAAAUAAAUAUCAGGGAAGGGGCUUAUCAUUCUUAGCAGAGCUGUGGCAUUUUUUAGUGAACACAGAUC
Non-coding RNA from Cyanistes caeruleus (blue tit), 1060 nucleotides. Lineage: Eukaryota; Metazoa; Chordata; Aves; Passeriformes; Paridae. The record is from RefSeq and is a predicted model, not a curated record.